UACGAAGGGGGCUAGCGUUGCUCGGAAUCACUGGGCGUAAAGCGCACGUAGGCGGAUCUUUAAGUCAGGGGUGAAAUCCUGGAGCUCAACUCCAGAACUGCCUUUGAUACUGGGGAUCUCGAGUCCGGGAGAGGUGAGUGGAACUCCGAGUGUAGAGGUGAAAUUCGUAGAUAUUCGGAAGAACACCAGUGGCGAAGGCGGCUCACUGGCCCGAUACUGACGCUGAGGUGCGAAAGCGUGGGGAGCAAACAGG
Molecule: ribosomal RNA, 253 nt
Filed under: uncultured bacterium
Lineage: Bacteria
Description: partial 16S ribosomal RNA
Rfam family: Bacterial small subunit ribosomal RNA
Source: RNAcentral